RNAcentral lists this ribosomal RNA (405 nucleotides) under uncultured bacterium. RNAcentral's name for it is "partial 16S ribosomal RNA". It matches the Rfam family "Bacterial small subunit ribosomal RNA", at positions 30 to 526 of the family's 1533-position model. The record is from RNAcentral.
AUUGAACGCUGGCGGCAGGCCUAACACAUGCAAGUCGAACGAGUGGAGGACGGGCGAGUAAUUCAUGGGCAUCUAGCUUAUGGAGGGGGAUAACUACGGGAAACCGUAGCAAAUACCGCGUAACAUAGGAUGGGCUCAAGCGGGAUUAGGUAGUGGGUGAGGUAAAGGCUCACCAAGCGGACGAUCUCUAGCUGGUCUGCGAGGCGGACCAGCCACACUGGGACUGAGACACUGCCCAGACUCCUACGGGAGGCAGCAGUGGGGAAGAGUGCGCAAUGGGCGCAACCUGACCCAGCCAUGCCGCGUGAAUGAAGAAGGCCUUCGGGUUGUAAAGUUCUUUCGGUAGAGAAGCGUUAACUACCGAAGAAGCACCGGCUAACUCCGUGCCAGCAGCCGCGGUAAUAC